AGACAGAGGUGCCGAGCGUUAGGCAGAAUCACUGGGCUUAAAGCGUGUGUAGGCGGACGGGUAAGUACCUUGUGAAAUCCUGCGGCUCAACCGCAGAACUGCUUGGUAUACUGCUUGUCUUGAGCCACUUAGGGGCAGUCGGAACAGAUGGUGGAGCGGUGAAAUGCGUAGAUAUCAUCUGGAACGCCAAAGGUGAAAACAGACUGCUGGGAGUGUGCUGACGCUGAGACACGAAAGCCAGGGGAGCGAACGGGAUUAGAUACCCCGGUAGUCCUGGCCCUAAACGAUGUCCACUAGAUCGUGGCGCCUCUGACGGUGUCACGGUCGAAGCAAAAGUGUUAAGUGGACCGCCUGGGAAGUACGGUCGCAAGGCUAAA
RNAcentral lists this ribosomal RNA (377 nucleotides) under uncultured bacterium. RNAcentral's name for it is "bacterial SSU rRNA". It matches the Rfam family "Bacterial small subunit ribosomal RNA", at positions 523 to 898 of the family's 1533-position model. The record is from RNAcentral.